This 454-nucleotide long non-coding RNA is filed under the name Homo sapiens (human). Its description in RNAcentral is "non-protein coding lnc-ZIC4-3:8". Lineage: Eukaryota; Metazoa; Chordata; Mammalia; Primates; Hominidae. The record is from RNAcentral.
GUUUUACUGUGUUAGCCAGGAUGGUCUCGGUCUCCUGACCUCGUGAUCUACCCGCCUCAGCCUCCCAAAGUGUUGGGAUUACAGGCAUGAGCCACCGCGCCCAGCCGUCUUGUCAAAAUACUCUAAGACUUCAUCUGUUUAGAAUCAAAAGUGCGGAAGACCUGGGAAUUAUGUAAUAAGGAUAGCAGAAUAAUCCUCGUCACUGACAGGUGGUGAGCUGUAAAGUGUUCUUUUGUUGCAGUGGCAGAGAUUUCAGCAAUGGAGGGAAAUCCAGUGGCCAAGAUGCUUACCUGUCUCGGUGUCCAGCAUGUGUCCUGGAGGAGUGCCCCUAAAGCACCUUCAGCUGUUUAUUUAAACACUUGACUCCAGGCUCUGAUGCAUUUUAAUUUUUCAACAUUUAAAUUUAGCUGUUUUAAUGAGGUUUUAGUUUUAAUAAGUAACAAAAGAUUUUUUC